AGAGAGGCCUGGGAGAGUGUCAUAUAUACAAAUAGGAAAAGGCAGAUAUACAGAAAAUGCCAAGACCAAGUGCCAGGAAUUUGGCUUUGCCAGGAACAGAGAGGGCCAGUGUGGCUGGAGGGGAGUCUGAGGGGCAGGAUAGAGAGGGAAGACCCCAGGGGUAGGCCUCACUGCAAGGCUCUAGGACAUUUUGGUAACCUGGAAUCUGUGUGGGGACUUCCUCAAAGGUCACAGGCUAAUAAAAUAUAGCAGCUUGUUAUUUUCUGCAGAGGGGAGGACAAAAAAAGAAAUCUUUUCCUGUGGAUGUGUACCUGAGAUGUUCACUACGGAGGGCAAAAAUCAGAACGGGUGUUAUUCUAAAUAAAAUGGUUGAAAAAGCAAGUGGGGUGACAGACUGUGAACUCACCCCAGAACCCCUGACUCUGGAGUGGCGGAUUGGAAUCCUCCUGGAUGUGGAAUCCAAGACUGGCUUGAGACCUCCUGACAUCUCUGAGCUUUGGCUUCCACAUCUGUGGAACAAGGACAAUAGAACUUCCUGGCCUCAGAGGAGACUGCGAGAUGACCUACAAGGUUCUUGGCAGAGAAUGACAAAGUAAUUGUCUCCAUCACAGCCACCCACAGUCCCCAAACCUACAAAGAGCUGCUGGUCCUGGAGUCCUUGAGUUUGGAACAUCCUUGCCCCCAAAAGUGAGUUAACAGAUUUUUGUAUUUGAGGUCAGAAUCUGAUAUUCAGAAGGCUUUGUUUUCAAAGUCUAGGCCAGGGUCUCAAGUUCAAAGGACUGUAGAGGCCAUGGGGUGGUGAGUAACAACCACAGAUGUGGCCAACAGCAGACUACAUGUCUUGCCCAGAGGGGCAGUCCUUACUCAGUUCCAAUCAUGGAAACUGUUUUCCAUGCAGCAGCCGAGGAUCUCG
This 913-nucleotide long non-coding RNA is filed under the name Mustela putorius furo (domestic ferret). RNAcentral describes it as "lncRNA (ENSMPUG00000024354.1)". Lineage: Eukaryota; Metazoa; Chordata; Mammalia; Carnivora; Mustelidae. The record is from RNAcentral.